Bombyx mori (domestic silkworm) is the source of this 1285-nucleotide long non-coding RNA. RefSeq lists it as uncharacterized. The record is from RefSeq and is a predicted model, not a curated record. Lineage: Eukaryota; Metazoa; Arthropoda; Insecta; Lepidoptera; Bombycidae. The transcript is spliced from 4 exons.
AGUUAAAAUGUUUGUUAAGCUACUCCCUUUCCUAUAUAGUUGAAAUUUUUACUAUAGUGACAAGAGGGCGGGUGGGCGGGCAAUUUUUUGACGUUUCGCGCCAGCUAGAGGGUCGUGCGAUACCUCAAAAGAAGCGUCUCGCCGAGCUCUAGCCAGUGGUACAGAAUUUAAAGAUUUUUUGAAGAAAAAUCUUUUAUUUUUCAGGAAAACAAGAAAAAUUUUGACGUUUUAUACAAGAAAAUACAAAAUUUUGGAUUUCCGGAAGCGCGGAACGCACUCCAGAAAGUAGGGCGGAUCGGUCGAAAAGGUGGGGGUGUCAAAAAUUGACGUCACACCACUGCGAUUCCUAGUUUGAAGGGUCGGUGCGUGCUUACAAGCCAGUUGCACUUUAAAAUCGCAAAAAACCGCUUCAAAAUAAGCCUCUUGUAAGAAAAGUUAUGGAGGGUGAUUUUUGGUGUGCAAUCACUUAGGUGGAUUUCGCAGUAAAAGUUUGUACGGUGAACGGGUUUUGGUCAAUUUUUUGACGUUUCGCGCCAGCUAGAGGGUCGUGCGAUACCUCAAAAGAAGCGUCUCGCCGAGCUCUAGCCAGUGGUACAGAAUUUAAAGAUUUUUUGAAGAAAAAUCUUUUAUUUUUCAGGAAAACAAGAAAAAUUUUGACGUUUUAUACAAGAAAAUACAAAAUUUUGGAUUUCCGGAAGCGCGGAACGCACUCCAGAAAGUAGGGCGGAUCGGUCGAAAAGGUGGGGGUGUCAAAAAUUGACGUCACACCACUGCGAUUCCUAGUUUGAAGGGUCGGUGCGUGCUUACAAGCCAGUUGCACUUUAAAAUCGCAAAAAACCGCUUCAAAAUAAGCCUCUUGUAAGAAAAGUUAUGGAGGGUGAUUUUUGGUGUGCAAUCACUUAGGUGGAUUUCGCAGUAAAAGUUUGUACGGUGAACGGGUUUUGGUCAAUUUUUUGACGUUUCGCGCCAGCUAGAGGGUCGUGCGAUACCUCAAAAGAAGCGUCUCGCCGAGCUCUAGCCAGUGGUACAGAAUUUAAAGAUUUUUUGAAGAAAAAUCUUUUAUUUUUCAGGAAAACAAGAAAAAUUUUGACGUUUUAUACAAGAAAAUACAAAAUUUUGGAUUUCCGGAAGCGCGGAACGCACUCCAGAAAGUAGGGCGGAUCGGUCGAAAAGGUGGGGGUGUCAAAAAUUGACGUCACACCACUGCGAUUCCUAGUUUGAAGGGUCGGUGCGUGCUUACAAGCCAGUUGCACUUUAAAAUCGCAAAAAACCGCUUCAAAAUAAG